GGUGAGUAACACGUGGGCAAUCUGCCCUGCACUCUGGGACAAGCCCUGGAAACGGGGUCUAAUACCGGAUACUGACCUGCCAAGGCAUCUUGGCGGGUCGAAAGCUCCGGCGGUGCAGGAUGAGCCCGCGGCCUAUCAGCUUGUUGGUGAGGUAAUGGCUCACCAAGGCGACGACGGGUAGCCGGCCUGAGAGGGCGACCGGCCACACUGGGACUGAGACACGGCCCAGACUCCUACGGGAGGCAGCAGUGGGGAAUAUUGCACAAUGGGCGCAAGCCUGAUGCAGCGACGCCGCGUGAGGGAUGACGGCCUUCGGGUUGUAAACCUCUUUCAGCAGGGAAGAAGCGAAAGUGACGGUACCUGCAGAAGAAGCGCCGGCUAACUACGUGCCAGCAGCCGCGGUAAUACGUAGGGCGCAAGCGUUGUCCGGAAUUAUUGGGCGUAAAGAGCUCGUAGGCGGCUUGUCGCGUCGGUUGUGAAAGCCCGGGGCUUAACCCCGGGUCUGCAGUCGAUACGGGCAGGCUAGAGUUCGGUAGGGGAGAUCGGAAUUCCUGGUGUAGCGGUGAAAUGCGCAGAUAUCAGGAGGAACACCGGUGGCGAAGGCGGAUCUCUGGGCCGAUACUGACGCUGAGGAGCGAAAGCGUGGGGAGCGAACAGGAUUAGAUACCCUGGUAGUCCACGCCGUACACGGUGGGCACUAGGUGUGGGCAACAUUCCACGUUGUCCGUGCCGCAGCUAACGCAUUAAGUGCCCCGCCUGGGGAGUACGGCCGCAA
RNAcentral lists this ribosomal RNA (775 nucleotides) under Streptomyces coelicolor. RNAcentral's name for it is "bacterial SSU rRNA". It matches the Rfam family "Bacterial small subunit ribosomal RNA", at positions 105 to 891 of the family's 1533-position model. The record is from RNAcentral. Lineage: Bacteria; Bacillati; Actinomycetota; Actinomycetes; Kitasatosporales; Streptomycetaceae.